RNAcentral lists this ribosomal RNA (429 nucleotides) under uncultured bacterium. Its description in RNAcentral is "bacterial SSU rRNA". It matches the Rfam family "Bacterial small subunit ribosomal RNA", at positions 355 to 776 of the family's 1533-position model. The record is from RNAcentral.
UGGGGAAUAUUGGGCAAUGGACGCAAGUCUGACCCAGCGACGCCGCGUGCGGGAUGAAGGCCUUCGGGUUGUAAACUGCUUUUGUACGGAGCGAAAAGGCUCUCUCUAAUAAAGGGGGCUCAUGACGGUACCGUAAGAAUAAGCACCGGCUAACUCCGUGCCAGCAGCCGCGGUAAUACGGAGGGUGCAAGCGUUAUCCGGAUUCACUGGGUUUAAAGGGUGCGUAGGCGGGUAGGUAAGUCAGUGGUGAAAUCCUUGAGCUCAACUCGAGAACUGCCAUUGAUACUAUUUAUCUUGAAUAUUGUGGAGGUAAGCGGAAUAUGUCAUGUAGCGGUGAAAUGCUUAGAUAUGACAUAGAACACCUAUUGCGAAGGCAGCUUACUACGCAUAUAUUGACGCUGAGGCACGAAAGCGUGGGGAUCAAACAGG